Molecule: non-coding RNA, 208 nt
Organism: Pelobates cultripes (western spadefoot toad)
Lineage: Eukaryota; Metazoa; Chordata; Amphibia; Anura; Pelobatidae
Source: the annotation of a GenBank genome assembly
CUUGGUCACAACUCAAAAUUGGGCACCCAUGCUAUUUCAGUGGGUUCCCAAUGGGUUCAUAUUGAUAAAGUCCGAUGAAAAUGCCCACAUUGGAAAUUAGAGCUGCUUCAGUAAUCCGUUCAAAGUUCGAUGGAGACUUCUCCAACAUUACAGAAAGUCUGAUUAAAUAAUUUGCAGAAUUAAUAUUUUAUAUUGCAUUGUAUGAACG